This is an unclassified non-coding RNA of Chelonoidis abingdonii (Abingdon island giant tortoise), 173 nucleotides long. Lineage: Eukaryota; Metazoa; Chordata; Testudines; Testudinidae. The record is from Ensembl.
UUGACAGCCCUGGAGACUGAUACUUUCUACUUAUCCACAGAAGGGGUACAGCACAGACUGUAGCAGUGCAAAUUUACUGACACGUCCCUCACUAAUAUGCUUCAACCUAGCUACGGAGGGGCAACCUCCAAAGAAUGUUCCCAUUCAGUCUUUGGCCUCUUUGCUGGGAUUGC